GAUGAACGCUGGCGGCGUGCCUAAUACAUGCAAGUCGAGCGAACAGAUGAGGAGCUUGCUCCUCUGACGUUAGCGGCGGACGGGUGAGUAACACGUGGAUAACCUACCUAUAAGACUGGGAUAACUUCGGGAAACCGGAGCUAAUACCGGAUAAUAUAUUGAACCGCACGGUUCAAUAGUGAAAGACGGUUUUGCUGUCACUUAUAGAUGGAUCCGCGCCGCAUUAGCUAGUUGGUAAGGUAACGGCUUACCAAGGCAACGAUGCGUAGCCGACCUGAGAGGGUGAUCGGCCACACUGGAACUGAGACACGGUCCAGACUCCUACGGGAGGCAGCAGUAGGGAAUCUUCCGCAAAGGGCGAAAGCCUGACGGAGCAACGCCGCGUGAGUGAUGAAGGUCUUCGGAUCGUAAAACUCUGUUAUUAGGGAAGAACAAAUGUGUAAGUAACUAUGCACGUCUUGACGGUACCUAAUCAGAAAGCCACGGCUAACUACGUG
Molecule: ribosomal RNA, 497 nt
Filed under: uncultured bacterium
Lineage: Bacteria
Description: partial 16S ribosomal RNA
Rfam family: Bacterial small subunit ribosomal RNA
Source: RNAcentral